This 495-nucleotide ribosomal RNA is filed under the name uncultured bacterium. RNAcentral describes it as "partial 16S ribosomal RNA". It matches the Rfam family "Bacterial small subunit ribosomal RNA", at positions 28 to 507 of the family's 1533-position model. The record is from RNAcentral.
GACGAACGCUGGCGGCGUGCCUAAUACAUGCAAGUAGAACGCUGAAGGAGGAGCUUGCUUCUCUGGAUGAGUUGCGAACGGGUGAGUAACGCGUAGGUAACCUGCCUGGUAGUGGGGGAUAACUAUUGGAAACGAUAGCUAAUACCGCAUAAUAGCAGUUGUUGCAUGAUAACUGUUUGAAAGGUGCAAUUGCACCGCUACCAGAUGGACCUGCGUUGUAUUAGCUAGUUGGUGGGGUAACGGCUCACCAAGGCGACGAUACAUAGCCGACCUGAGAGGGUGAUCGGCCACACUGGGACUGGGACACGGCCCAGACUCCUACGGGAGGCAGCAGUAGGGAAUCUUCGGCAAUGGACGGAAGUCUGACCGAGCAACGCCGCGUGAGUGAAGAAGGUUUUCGGAUCGUAAAGCUCUGUUGUAAGAGAAGAACGAGUGUGAGGGUGGAAAGUUCACACUGUGACGGUAUCUUAACAGAAAGGGACGGCUAACUACGUG